GGAUCAUGGCUCAGAGGUAGAGCACGCGCCUAGCAUGCGUGAGGCACUAAGUUCGAUUCUCAGCACCA
RNAcentral lists this transfer RNA (68 nucleotides) under Marmota monax (woodchuck). RNAcentral's name for it is "tRNA.Ala". The stretch from base 7 to 63 matches the Rfam family "tRNA", at positions 8 to 63 of the family's 71-position model. From Rfam's summary of the family: Transfer RNA (tRNA) molecules are approximately 80 nucleotides in length. Lineage: Eukaryota; Metazoa; Chordata; Mammalia; Rodentia; Sciuridae. The record is from RNAcentral.